RNAcentral lists this unclassified non-coding RNA (168 nucleotides) under uncultured Ascomycota. RNAcentral describes it as "sequence contains ITS2". The record is from RNAcentral. Lineage: Eukaryota; Fungi; Ascomycota.
CAACCCUCAAAUAAAGGCUUUGAAGUAACUCACCGGAGUCUCAAGCCGGAUUUGAUGUUGGGCCUUGCCGGUGGCAUGCCUAAAACUUAGUGACGGUACCUAUCAACCUCAGGCGUACAGACUCGCUGAUGGGGCUUCGAUGGGGGCUUGUCUAACUAAAUUUCUAAA